Molecule: ribosomal RNA, 510 nt
Filed under: uncultured bacterium
Lineage: Bacteria
Description: partial 16S ribosomal RNA
Rfam family: Bacterial small subunit ribosomal RNA
Source: RNAcentral
GACGAACGCUGGCGGCGUGCCUAAUACAUGCAAGUCGAGCGAAUGACGAGAAGCUUGCUUCUCUGAUUUAGCGGCCGACGGGUGAGUAACACGUGGGCAACCUGCCCUACAGAUCGGGAUAACUCAGGGAAACCUGGGCUAAUACCGGAUAAUCCUUCGAAUCACAUGUUUUGAAGUUGAAAGGCGCUUCGGCGUCACUGUAGGAUGGGCCCGCGGUGCAUUAGCUAGUUGGUGGGGUAACGGCCUACCAAGGCAACGAUGCAUAGCCGACCUGAGAGGGUGAUCGGCCACAUUGGGACUGAGACACGGCCCCAACUCAUACGGGAGGCAGCAGUAGGGAAUCUUCCACAAUGGACGAAAGUCUGAUGGAGCGACGCCGCGUGAGUGAUGAAGGUUUUCGGAUCGUAAAACUCUGUUGUAAGGGAAGAACAAGUACGUUAGGAAAUGAACGUACCUUGACGGUACCUUAUUAGAAAGCCACGGCUAACUACGUGCCAGCCGCCGCGGUAA